UCUAAUUCUCCGCAGCAAGAUUGGCUGAUGAUAGCCACUCUCCCUGGACGAGGCCCGUUUGCAAUGCGCCCCGUUAGGACGCACCCGGCCGCCGGGCAGGACACGGCCUUGCCACGCGACGGAAACAGGUAACUUCAGGAGAUGCUGCAUGUCAAUGAUCCCAGCCUGCUGGAUGUCCAGAAACUACAGCUGUGAUAAACCUUCCUUUAUAGCUUUUCAAAGAUGUCGCACUUGGCACAGAAGUCCCUUAACCACAAGUUAUUGGUGGCUGGGCAUGUCUGUCUCUACAGAAUGCAACAGCAAGAUCCUGAAGUGAUGAUUACAGCCAAAACCUGUGAUUUCAUGUUCAGCUGAUUGCUUUUGACCAGUUUGAGAACAUUAGUAGCUUGCUGAAAUCCUUGUGGAUUAUCGGCAGGAGUCGCCUUUCUGGAGGACUUUGCUUUGGAGAGGAAAGUGACGACUUUGGUUGUCCUGCUGUGUAUUGAAGUACACGGCUCUAGUUGCACAAAACAAGAGGUUCACUAUGUGAUGACAUGGACAAAGCAGCCCCACGUCUUACAAAAACAGUUUCUUGCAAGUGUGAAGUCUAAAAAUAUCCCCCAGAUGGAGACACCCAGCAAUGCAAUGAGAGCAUGGAGGAAUAGAGCUUGCAAUGUGCAAAUGCAGCAGCUCUCUUCUAGGCCCAGGGGAGGUGUUGGGGGAUCCACAGCAAGUGACCGGAGGAGCAGCCAUAGCAGGUUUGCAAGAUCUAUGCGUGUAAAUUUCCCUGGCUUUCCCACCUAGAGAGUGAGCAGCUCCAAGAGGUCUGCUCUAUCCAUCCUUCCUCCCAGGCAGCAUUUGGAGGACGCCAAAGGAAUGCAAGUUCUGCACUCACGCUCUGCCAAUACAGGGAUUUUGCCUGGCGCAAGGGAGCAGUGAAGGCAAAAGUUAUCAAGACACACAUAACAGCAGCAUUGUUCAGGAGCGGGUUUGUUGCACACAGGCUGGGAGUUACACAUGCAAAAAGCCCCUUUUCCGAACACAGGAGGACAACACCGCAGGACCAGAAUGACCUUGCACCAGUCUUCCUGGGCAACAGGUUCGCUCAUAAAAUCUGCAUCAGAGACUUCCUUGCAAUUAGGUCAUUCAAUGUUUGAUCAUUUUUCUGUUCCAUAAGGUACAGAAAAUAUUUACAUUCAACACACAAGUUCUUUCUUCAAUUCCUUGACAGCAGACCGCUUUAAUUAUAUGUGUGCUGACAGGACUACAGAGAGAUCCCAUGUGACCGCGGUGGAAGGGAAGAAAGCUUAUCAUCAGGUGACAGAAGAAUGCCCUUAUUGUUAGUGCCAAUACUUACAAAUAAACCUUUCCAGUGUGUCAUAUACCGGUAUAAAUAUACCACUCCUGUGGCAUUGAGCUAAUAUGUUACUGAAGUAAGAACCAAGGAAGGUCUGCAUCUGAACCACUUCCCUCGGGACACAUGCGCUUCAAGAUUUGGCACAGAUUAACUGUACCAACUGUGAGCUGUGUGACUCACAACACAAAGUAUGCCAAAUAAUAGAACAUUUGCUAAUAUGGUCAGAGAAGGAUCCAUAAACCUCCUUGGGUUCUAGUCUUCACUCCUUUACCCCGGUUGCUGUUACUAGUUAUGCUGCAGUAGCUCCUAAGAGUCCUAAGCCACACGGCAGGACUUGCUUGUGCUAAGCGCUGUGCAAACACAGCAGCACAAAAUGGAUUCUGCUCUGAAAAGAUGAGCUUGCUUCCCAGCCUGGCUUCCACUGCAAUAAGUUCAAGGAUUAAUUCCGGCUUUAUUGCAGCGCAAGUUAACAGAAUUAGAUGCUCUGAGCUUAAAUUUGCACAGGAGAAAAUAGAAGUAUUUGUUAGAUUGUGAUUUCUCAUCACAGAGCGCAGGCAGGUAUCUUCAUCAAGCCAUCUCCUGCACUUCAGGAAAUAAUCUGGACUUUUACUCCUUACUGUACUUGAGCAAACCAGCUGCUCCAAAGAUCAAUACAUUUCACAGUGAAAUGGGAUAUUAUCUGCAUUGUAGUCCAUAGAAAGUUAAUCAGUAA
Molecule: long non-coding RNA, 2048 nt
Organism: Haliaeetus leucocephalus (bald eagle)
Lineage: Eukaryota; Metazoa; Chordata; Aves; Accipitriformes; Accipitridae
Exons: 6
Source: RefSeq, a predicted model, not a curated record